RNAcentral lists this ribosomal RNA (244 nucleotides) under uncultured bacterium. RNAcentral describes it as "partial 16S ribosomal RNA". It matches the Rfam family "Bacterial small subunit ribosomal RNA", at positions 528 to 771 of the family's 1533-position model. The record is from RNAcentral.
UAGGGGGCAAGCGUUAUCCGGAAUUACUGGGUGUAAAGGGAGAGUAGGCGGCAUGGUAAGUAAGAUGUGAAAGCCCUGGGCUUAACCUGGGGAUUGCAUUUUAAACUAUCAAGCUAGAGUACAGGAGAGGAAAGCGGAAUUCCUAGUGUAGCGGUGAAAUGCGUAGAUAUUAGGAAGAACACCAGUGGCGAAGGCGGCUUUCUGGACUGAAACUGACGCUGAGGCUCGAAAGCGUGGGGAGCAA